UGGGGAAUAUUGGACAAUGGGCGCAAGCCUGAUCCAGCCAUGCCGCGUGGGUGAAGAAGGCCUUCGGGUUGUAAAGCCCUUUUGUUGGGAAAGAAAACUUUCCGGUCAAUACCCGGAGAGAAUGACGGUACCCAAAGAAUAAGCACCGGCUAACUUCGUGCCAGCAGCCGCGGUAAUACGAAGGGUGCAAGCGUUACUCGGAAUUACUGGGCGUAAAGCGUGCGUAGGUGGUUUGUUAAGUCUGAUGUGAAAGCCCUGGGCUCAACCUGGGAAUUGCAUUGGAAACUGGCAGGCUAGAGUACGGUAGAGGGUAGUGGAAUUCCUGGUGUAGCAGUGAAAUGCGUAGAGAUCAGGAGGAACAUCCGUGGCGAAGGCGACUACCUGGACCAGUACUGACACUGAGGCACGAAAGCGUGGGGAGCAAACAGG
This 429-nucleotide ribosomal RNA is filed under the name uncultured prokaryote. RNAcentral describes it as "bacterial SSU rRNA". It matches the Rfam family "Bacterial small subunit ribosomal RNA", at positions 355 to 776 of the family's 1533-position model. RNAcentral also lists the same sequence under 1 other name. The record is from RNAcentral.